This 1000-nucleotide transfer RNA is filed under the name Bos indicus x Bos taurus (hybrid cattle). Its description in RNAcentral is "lncRNA (ENSBIXG00000000986.1)". The record is from RNAcentral. Lineage: Eukaryota; Metazoa; Chordata; Mammalia; Artiodactyla; Bovidae.
CAAGUCUCUGGCAUUGUGGGAGGAUUCUUUACCAUCUGAGCCCCCAGGGAAGCCCAAGAAUACUGGAGUGGGUAGCCUAUCCCUUCUCUAGGGGAACUUCCCAAUCCAGGAAUCCAACCAGGGUCUCCUGCAUUGCAGGCAGAUUCUUUACCAGCUGAGUCAUUGGGAAGCCCAAUUUUAGGCCUUCACAGUCUAAUUCUCAUUUGUCCAAUCGGGUAGCUGCCGACUGCUAUUACCUUGAACUGCUCGCUGAGUUUAUGCAAAGUAAUUUUAACAGGUAUUUGCCAGUUGCCUGAAGUGGAGACUCAACUGAAGGCUUUAAUAAUCCUUUAUUAGGCAGAUACCCACAUAUCUUUAUGGACAGACAAUGUACAGUUUGGCAUCAUUUAAAAAUGCCACCCAGCCUAUCAACUGAUGCCUAGAGAAUGUGAGCCUGAAAGAUAACAAUGUGUAGGCUGAGGCCACAGAUGUCACGUCAGUCAUCCUUGGCGGUUUUCUUGCACUGACAUUGGGAAGCAGCUUAUGGUCUCAGGAUGGACCGAAAAAUGAUUUUCGUAUUACUACUGUCAGGUUAUAUUUCCAGAGAACCUGUUGCAACACGGCGUACAGAGACCGCUGUCACUUUGGACUCACCAGGUUAUAUUUCCAGAGAACCUGUUGCAAACACGGCGUACAGAGACCGCUGUCACUUUGGACUUACCAGGUAAGUUACCAACCAAAGGAGAUGGGUAAUAGAUUUCCAGCCAUUAGCAUCAUAUCUGUGUAUUUAAUAAGCACCUAUCUGUGUGAUAUUCUAUGAUACAUGAGUCAAAUUAAAGCAACAACACUGAAAAGAAACAUUGCCAGGUUACCUCUGGCUCUUGGAAUUGGGGUAAUUUUUUUCUGCUAUUUCAGUUCAGUUUAGUUCAGUCAUUCAGUUGUGUCCAACUCUUUGCGACCCCAUGAAUUGCAGCACGCCAGGCCUCCCUGUCCAUCACCAACUCCCGGAGUUCACCCAGAC